This 253-nucleotide ribosomal RNA is filed under the name uncultured bacterium. RNAcentral's name for it is "partial 16S ribosomal RNA". It matches the Rfam family "Bacterial small subunit ribosomal RNA", at positions 524 to 776 of the family's 1533-position model. The record is from RNAcentral.
UACGGCGGGUGCAAACGUUGCUCGGAAUCACUGGGCGUAAAGAGCGCGUAGGCGGUCUCUUAAGUCAGAUGUGAAAGCCCGGGGCUCAACCCCGGAAGUGCAUUUGAAACUAAGGGACUUGAGUAUGGGAGAGGGAAGUGGAAUUCCUGGUGUAGCGGUGUAAUGCGUAGAUAUCAGGAGGAACACCGGUGGCGAUGGCGACUUCCUGGACCAAUACUGACGCUGAGGCGCGAAGGCGUGGGGAGCAAACAGG